RNAcentral lists this transfer RNA (84 nucleotides) under Nanobdellota archaeon. RNAcentral describes it as "tRNA-Leu". It matches the Rfam family "tRNA". From Rfam's summary of the family: Transfer RNA (tRNA) molecules are approximately 80 nucleotides in length. Their secondary structure includes four short double-helical elements and three loops (D, anti-codon, and T loops). The record is from RNAcentral. Lineage: Archaea; Nanobdellati; Nanobdellota.
GCGGGGGUGCCGGAGCGGUCAAACGGGACAGACUCAAGAUCUGUUGGCUUAGUGCCUACGCAGGUUCAAAUCCUGUUCCCCGCA